This 323-nucleotide unclassified non-coding RNA is filed under the name soil metagenome. RNAcentral's name for it is "partial contains 5.8S ribosomal RNA, internal transcribed spacer 2, and large subunit ribosomal RNA". The stretch from base 1 to 120 matches the Rfam family "5.8S ribosomal RNA", at positions 35 to 154 of the family's 154-position model. The record is from RNAcentral.
GAUGAAGAACGUAGUGAAAUGCGAUAAGUAGUGUGAAUUGCAGAAUUCAGUGAAUCAUCGAAUCUUUGAACGCACAUUGCGCCCCUUGGUAUUCCAUGGGGCAUGCCUGUUCGAGCGUCAUUUGUACCUUCAAGCUUUGCUUGGUGUUGGGUGUUUGUCCCUCGGGACUCGCCUUAAAGUCAUUGGCAGCCAGUGUUUUGGUUUUGAAGCGCAGCACAAGUCGCGAUUCAAGGCUAUCCGCCCGCUUCCACAAGCCUUUUUCACUUUUGACCUCGGAUCAGGUAGGGAUACCCGCUGAACUUAAGCAUAUCAUAAGCGGAGGA